AAGAUAUCACAGUUCAUGUUAAACAAGAUUUUGGUCGAGGUAGAAAUUUUAAUAUGGAACAAAGAGCAGUGAUUAAAUUUAACGCAAAACUUGGUAAAAGUGCAUCAGAAACAUUCCGAUUGAUGCAACAAAUUUACGGCAAUCAAUGUCUAGGUCGUACAGCUGUUUUUGAGUGGCAUAAGAGUUUUUUGGAAGGCAGAGAGACCCUUGAAGAUGACAAAAAAUCAGAACGGCCAAUUUUGGUUCGAACACCCGAAAUGAUUGAAAAAGUACGUAAUUUUGUUGCAAACGCAAUGCGUCACUAAAAAUGAUGGAGGAGGCUUUAAAUAUCAGUAGAGAAACGAUUCGAACCAUAUUACAUGAAGAUUUGGGUAAAACGAAGGUUUGUGCGAAGUUUGUUCCACACACAUUAAGAAGCGAUCAAAAAUCAAUGAGAAUCAAUCAUUCCAGAGACAUUUCUACCUCGACCAAGAUCUUAUUUAACAUGAACUGUGAUAUCUCCGUUAUAUGUCAACCAAAAUGAAUGAAACUUUGACAGAUAGAUAGGGAAAUGUUAAACCUUUCAAAUGCAUGUUUGAACGCACAGAUGUUGCCACUGGUUGCUGAGAUGUGGUUCGUGUCCGGGAACAUAUUUGUCGCACUGUAAGUAACACUCGCAAACCAAGUCGAACACAGCCCAAAUAUUGGGCCAAUUACGGCGCGCGACAUCGGCCAAGCGAGAUUAGAUUAUUAGCUGGGUUGUAAUUAAAAUAGAGAAUAAAUAACACAUUUACCAAUUGAAGAAGUGAUGUAGCGGGUAACGUAGAAGAUUCAUAAUCCAGAGGUCUCAGAUUCUCGAAUCCCUAAGUUUGCUGGAUGACUAUAAAGGGAGGAAAGGACAGUUUUCAUCGAUUUUUACAAGUGUUUUAAAGUGAUUUCGUCAUUUUGUUUCAUCCAAAUUGUCUUUAUUUAAAAAUGGCACGCAAUAUAAAUUAACGUGUCAUUUCUCACUUCUGACGAUUCCUACAUGGCCGCCGCGAUUAGUCAGGAACCUUAACGAAAGUAUCAAAACGCUCU
This is a long non-coding RNA of Trachymyrmex septentrionalis, 1056 nucleotides long. RefSeq lists it as uncharacterized. Lineage: Eukaryota; Metazoa; Arthropoda; Insecta; Hymenoptera; Formicidae. The transcript is spliced from 3 exons. The record is from RefSeq and is a predicted model, not a curated record.